Long non-coding RNA from Manihot esculenta (cassava), 1338 nucleotides. RefSeq lists it as uncharacterized. The transcript is spliced from 6 exons. The record is from RefSeq and is a predicted model, not a curated record. Lineage: Eukaryota; Viridiplantae; Streptophyta; Magnoliopsida; Malpighiales; Euphorbiaceae.
UAUAGUGUUAUUUAUGCAGCUUUUUAGCAUGUAUAGGAAAAUAUAUAUCUCGUAAUUUGGAAAAAUUCAUGAUAAUACUAAAUAUCUUUUUUUUUGCUGUUAUUUUUAAUUUUUAUCUUACACUUGGAAGUUUGAUCAUAAGCUAGCUGCAUUUCUGGUUCUGCAGCCUUAAUGUUGAAUCAAGUUUGUCCUUUCAUACAAUUAUGCAGAAAUCAAUAGUGUAAUUUUGCUUAUUCUACUUAAUUGAUAUCAUACUUCAUUAUAUUAGUAUUAUCAUAUCUCUUAUAAUUUUUAUUCUGCAGGUUUUGAAAACUCAUGUAUCGUUGGAUAUGCAGGUCUUGAUUAUGUUUUUAUUCUGCAGGUCUUGAUUAAAACCCUUUGGUUGUGCAGAACAAAAAUUCUGCAGAAUAGUUGAAAUUCAUGUUUUACAAAGUGCAUCAGGCAUGUACAGAAAUCUGAAUUCAUUAGCAUUGGGAUUGACAAAGAAAGGUGGUUUUCUCAUGACUUGUUCUUGUUCAGGAGCUGUGACCCAAAUUGGUGUAGGCAAGGCGCAGCAUCAAUGGUAGGAAGAAAAAUCACAGUUGUGAGGCAGAGUAGUGCAGCUUCUGACCAUCCUAUUGACCCAUCCUACCCGGAAGGUCUUGAUUAAAACCCUUUGGUUGUCAUGCUCAGGAAGCUCCAUCAACCCCAGUGAAAAUCUCUUUUCUCUUGACUGCAAUGUUAGACUGGAUCCUUCUAGGCCCUUAAGCAAGCGGAAGCAUUGGGUUGUUGCUGAAAUUCUGAAGAAAGCACGUAUUUAUGUGCCACCAUCAGCUGAUAGCUUUGUGGGUUUAGAUGGCAAAACUGAAGCACAAACUUCUGCAGCCUCUUGAACUUAGAUCAAAAUCAAUGUGCCUUCUGGGUGAUUUGCAUCUGGAGAAUGUAUACUAUUCAGAAAUGAAAGAUGCUGGUUUCUUUGAUGCUGAUUGGGAGUGAUGCAGUGAUAUUCUGGCCGGAUGACUCUGUAUAUUAAAGUAACUUCCAGAUGACAAAAAUUUUUGUACUUGAAGAGAUGCUUGUUCGUUGUUUGUUGGACUCGUUCUUUUACAAUAGAUGUAGUGUGCCUCUGGCACUUGAAACGCUUUGUUGUGUACCAAUUAGGAACUGGUUAGACCGCAUUAAAAAAUAUAACUUUGUAUAAUACAGAAUAAGGGAAGCAUAAAGGUAUAUUUUAUGAUAUAAAUUUGAUACUAUUUGGAUCCAUUAUGUAUUUUGAGAUAUUUUAAGUUUCUUAGUGUUGAACUAUAAUAAUGUUUUGAACUAUUAGAUUGCAGAAUUAUGAAAUGAAGUUGAUGUGUA